Molecule: long non-coding RNA, 3180 nt
Organism: Monopterus albus (swamp eel)
Lineage: Eukaryota; Metazoa; Chordata; Actinopteri; Synbranchiformes; Synbranchidae
Exons: 3
Source: RefSeq, a predicted model, not a curated record
UGUGGUCGCCGGAGCAUUUCGACAUGUAACGGACAAUACUUACCCUAUAGCACACUCUACAUGUCCGACAGGUUCUACAAUGGCUUUUGGAAAAUAGACUUCAUGUGAAAGCGGAGAAGUGCGAGUUUCACACAAGCAUGGUGAGCUUCCUGCGGUUCGUCAUACAGCAGGGGAGGAUUAAAGCAGAUCCAGGUACGGUCCAUGCUGUCACGGACUGGCCGGUCCCUGAAAACAGAAAAGAUCUACAACACUUCCUUGGGAUUGGCAAAUUUUACAGACGUUUCAUAAGAAACUACAGCACCAUUGCAGCACUGCUCAUCAAGCUGACUUCCACCACCUCCAAGUUUAGCUGGUCAACCGAGGCUGACCGCACCUUCGAGUUACUUAAGGACAAAUUCACCUCUGCUCCAAUCCUCAUUCAGCCAGAUCCCACUCACUAGUUCAUUGUCAAGGUGGACGUAUCAGAUACAGGAGUGGGAGCCGUACUCAGUCAGAGAUCAGAACAUGAUAAUACUGUUCACCCCUGUGCGUUCUUUUCUCAGCGACUCACCUUGGCUGAACAAAAUUAUGAUGUUGGUAACAGAGAACUGCUAGCCAUAAAACUCACCCUGGAGGAGUGGAGACACCUCUUAGAAGGAGCUGAGGUUCCAUUCACAGUAUGGACUGACCAUAAAAACCUGGCAUAUCUCCAAACGGCGAAAAGACUCAACACACGACAGGCCAGGUGGGUGCUUUUCCUUGACAGAUUUAACUUCACUCUCACUUACCGACCUGGUUCUAAAGAUCAAAAACCUGACUCACUAUCACGGCAAUUCAGUCCCACACAUGACAAUCACAAAGACAAAAGCAUAUUACUCAGCAUUCAACUCCCUCCAGGGAGCCACAAUCGUUACCAAACUCGACCUCCGCAACCUCCUGUAUUAUUGUAGCUGUUACCUGGGACAUCUUGCAGAAGAUCACUUAAGCCCAAGCAGGGCAGCCAGACCCUGGGGGGGUCCUCCUGGUUGAACCUUCAUACCUGAUGCCGUGCACGCAGAUGUGUUAAACUGGGCCUACACUUCUCGAACUAAGGAAUGCAAUCACCAGCAAGCUGAUCCGUCGGCCAGCUCCCCAGUAUGCGCCAGGUCAGAGAGGUUGGCUGGCUGCAGAACACAUCCCUUUGAAGGGAGAGUCCCAGAAGCUGAGUCCUCGGUACUUCGGCCCUUUCGAAAUUGAGACUGUAUUGCAUCCCACUGCCGUGUACCUAUGCCUGCCCAGGAACAUGCGCAUUCAUCCUACCUGCCAUGUCUCCCACAUUAAACCAUUGUCCACCAGCCCCCUCUACACCACGGCUGCUCCUCCGCCUCCUCCCAUUGAGGUGGAUGGGGCCCCUGACUUUUUGGUCUGCUGGCUUUUAAACAUCUGUUGUCUGGGCCGGGGACUUCAGUAUCUGUGGACUGGGAGGGUUACAACCUGGAGGAGCGCUCCUGGGUGCCUCGCUCAUUUAUUCUGGACCCGUACCUGAUUCAAGACUUCCACGCCCGACACCCUGGUGGGUCGCCCGGCACUGUUAUGGCUGCAGAUCAGUGCACUCCCAAUCAGCAGAGCAUUACUUAAGGAGAGUGUUGGUGUGUUCUCAUCACCAGAUGAUCUCUCGAUGUCCAGCAAUUCUUCAGUAAGCUUCUGAUAUGACUAACUUGUGUUUCUUUUUGCCUGGGUGAUCCCUGUAUUGUUUCAUGCAUUUUUUCUGAACUGUGAGCUGAACCGAACUGUGAACUGAAUUAUUUGCUUUCUGCCAGAGGAAAUCCACUUGAAUAUUGUUUAGUAUGAACUAUUGUUUCUGGGAAUUUGACUCCUGUCUCUGCUCUACUGAAUGCUGCUGUGUUCUCGUCAGUUUGAGUUUUCACUGCUUGUUUUAAGUUUCCUCUAAACCUGUGCACAUGCUGCGAUCUCCUUGCAAGUUCGAGUUUUUUCUAGGAUGAUCCUGUGACUCGGCUACCCAGGCGGACCUCCCACACUGGUGUAGAGCUGGGCUGCAGCCAACCCUCCUGUGAACUAUCACUUCCACUGCCAGCAGAUUCAUGCACCGGCCAGAAGGCACCUCAUCACCUCCUGCCUCCCUGCACAACACUCAUUCAUCAUAACCCAGUGGUUGCCUCUACUCGCUGUAUGCCCGGGUUUCUCAUCUAGUGGUCCAGUCAACAUAGCUCCCAGUCGCCCGUGCCUGACAAGCUGAAACGUCCACACUACAUCUUAUAUUUUCUGUUACCACUGCUGAUUAAAAAUUGCUUUGAUCUUGAGUCUUUGUCACAUCCUGCAUUUACUGGGUCCUCAGUUAUUUCUGAUGGCUAGCCAACAAGAACUCCAAGACGUACACCACUAUUGACCCAAAAGCACAAAUUUUUUUUUGUCUCCAUUAUGCUCAAAAUCAUAUAAAUUAGCCAUAGAUGUUUUGGGACUCGAUUAAAUAAAGCUGGAACUUUUCAAGUCUAUGGAUCAGCAGCAUGUCUGGAGGAAGAAGAAUGAAGCAUACGCUGAAAAGAACACCCUACCUACAGUGAAGCAUGGUGGUGGCUCGGCUGCUUUGCUUCCUCUGGCACUGGGAACCUGCAGCGUGUGGUAGGCAAGAUGGAUUCAUUGAAGUAUCAGGAAAUCUAGGAGAAAACAUCAUGCCAUCUGUGAAGAAGAUGAAGAUUGGGUAUCAUUGGACCUUCCAACAGGACAAUGAUCCCAAGCAUACCUCAAAGUCCACCAAAGCUUGGUUGCAGAAGAGGUCCUGGAAGAUUCUAGACUGGCCGUCGGACCCUAUAGAAAUCUCUGGUGGGGUUUGAAAAAGGCAGAUGCAGCACGCAAAACCAAGAAUAUUAGUGAACUGGGGACCAUUGCCCAUGAGGAAUGGACUAAAAUUCCUCAGGAAUGCUGCCAGAAGAUGGUGUCUUGCUAUGCAUCACAUUUGCAGCAAGUCGUGACAGCAAAAGGGUGCACUACUAAGUACUAAAUGAAGGGGUUGAAUAAUUCUGAGACUGAAGUUACUAAAAGUUGCAUUUUGUGUUGAAUGUGGAGAAACCACUUGUUAUAUUAAUUGUGUUGUGCUAUUUCAAAUGUUCUUGUCUGAUUUGUUCAUUGCAGAUGGCUGAAAGUGUGUAAAUUUUGCCAGUGCACCUAAUAUGCAAUGGGGGUUGAAUAAUUACAACUAUAAAA